CCGCUCGGGGCCGGCGCCGCCGCAGCGCGGGGAAGGGCUGCGGGCGAGGGAGGAGCGGCCCCGCGGGUGGCCGGGCCGCCCCGGGCGGGGGCAGCCGAGGCCCCGCACACCUGGCAGCAUCUUCCAGGUCCUGGGAGGGCAAGAACAGAAGCCAUCCUGCCACUGCAGAGAAGGGCUGGAGAUCCCUCUGGCAGCAAUACAGCUGGGCCAUCACAGGGCCGCUCCUCUUUGAGAGAACUCAGUCUCUCGAAGAUGAAGUGCUGAGCUGAAAGUAAUCUUCCUUGCUCAGCAAAAUAUUUAGUAGCAGGUCAUUGUAUCAAUACUGAAUGGGAUGGAAGAGAGGAUUCAUCCUUGUGAAACUCAGAAGACCUGCAAAAUGAGUACACAGGAGGUGGAAG
Molecule: long non-coding RNA, 398 nt
Organism: Onychostruthus taczanowskii (white-rumped snowfinch)
Lineage: Eukaryota; Metazoa; Chordata; Aves; Passeriformes; Passeridae
Exons: 3
Source: RefSeq, a predicted model, not a curated record